Molecule: ribosomal RNA, 397 nt
Filed under: uncultured bacterium
Lineage: Bacteria
Description: partial 16S ribosomal RNA
Rfam family: Bacterial small subunit ribosomal RNA
Source: RNAcentral
AUACGUAGGGUGCGAGCGUUGUCCGGAAUUACUGGGCGUAAAGAGCUCGUAGGUGGUUUGUCGCGUCGUCUGUGAAAUUCUGGGGCUUAACUCCGGGCGUGCAGGCGAUACGGGCAUAACUUGAGUACUGAGGGGAGACUGGAAUUCCUGGUGUAGCGGUGAAAUGCGCAGAUAUCAGGAGGAACACCGGUGGCGAAGGCGGGUCUCUGGGCAGUAACUGACGCUGAGGAGCGAAAGCAUGGGUAGCGAACAGGAUUAGAUACCCUGGUAGUCCAUGCCGUAAACGGUGGGCGCUAGGUGUAGGGGUCUUCCACGACUUCUGUGCCGUAGCUAACGCAUUAAGCGCCCCGCCUGGGGAGUACGGCCGCAAGGCUAAAACUCAAAGGAAUUGACGGGG